CAUGCUGUGCGCUGGGUGGCCUCAUCCCUACUGCCUUUGAACUGCUUGCUACAGGUUUUGGUGGUGAGUAUGCUGCAGCACAGCUCUGUGCUUCUGUCCUUGUUUGGAUGGGCAGGAAAUUCCCAUUUGCACUUGUGGGGAAUACAGUGUGCUAUAAAUUAGGCACAGAGCAAAAAGUGCCAAGAAACAGGUAACCUCCUCUCUCUGGAUUUACUUACAGAAGGUGAGAGCCCCUCUGUGUAUGCUGAGCAGUCCUAAUGGAUCACCCUUCCUUUUGAUCUUCCUAAUAUGUCUUAGUCCUCAUCCAUUAAGAGACAGAAAUCAUAGCUUUCUGCUAGCUUCACUGUUCUGUUUUAUGGUGCAGGCAAAACAGUAUCAGCUGAUGAUGAUAUGGCAUGACAUGGAUGCCCACUGGACACGGGCUGCAUCAGAUGGCUUAUUUCACGUGGUGUAUCAGUUAUGCUCCAGCUCUGGACUUACUGUUCUCCACGGAUUGAACACAGAGAGGAUUCAGACUCUAACACCAACAGAGCGUACCUUUUCUUGUCUCUGGAUGUCAGUCUGACAGCAGAAUAAGGAGUGCUAACGUGAUGUCACUGAGUUUGAACAGCAGCAAAGCUGAGACCCAAAGACAGAAAUAUGCAGUCUGUCUCAGGACGUGCUGAGACAUUCCCCUGCAGCUGUAUGAGCUAUCAGCUCAUCUCACUCUUUCACCAGAGACAACCUCUGAGAGGUAACUUUGCCUUCAGACUUCAGUCGUGUAUCGUCUGCUCUCAGCCAGUGUCAGAAGGCCCAGAGCUCUCUGCCUGUCUUCUGGGAGCAUCGAUCCACUCACCACAGCUCAGCACAACAUACGAAGCCUUUCCUUCCCUUGCACAUGUGUUCUCUCUCUCUUGAAGAAAAAAAGCAAAAAAAAAAAAAAGCAAAAAAAAAAAAAAGCUGUCAGUAUUUCAGAAGCUCUGAGCAGCAGAUCUUUGUGUACUUUAAUCCAUAAAUAAACAUUUCUUCUUUUGAACUUCA
RNAcentral lists this long non-coding RNA (1020 nucleotides) under Phasianus colchicus (ring-necked pheasant). Its description in RNAcentral is "lncRNA (ENSPCLG00000001023.1)". Lineage: Eukaryota; Metazoa; Chordata; Aves; Galliformes; Phasianidae. The record is from RNAcentral.